This 158-nucleotide small RNA is filed under the name uncultured Prevotella sp. RNAcentral's name for it is "Bacteroidales-1 6S-Bacteroidales RNA suggested". It matches the Rfam family "Bacteroidales-1 6S-Bacteroidales RNA suggested". The record is from RNAcentral. Lineage: Bacteria; Pseudomonadati; Bacteroidota; Bacteroidia; Bacteroidales; Prevotellaceae.
UCGAUUCAGAUCGGGAUACUCAUCAAUAUCUUCUCACACCGAGCCGGUUGCCUUUUUCAAUGGCGAGCCGUUGCAUAGCAAGACGGAUUACAAAGAUGAGGUGACACUCAAAACUUUACUACUCGGAGUUAUCAUCACAUCAUCGACACGGCUUUCUU